UCGUUGGCGCGGGGCAGCGUAAAAUCGCGAACAAGCAAAGUUUUCAUCGAAAAGCAGUGACCUUGUGGCUUAUUUCUGUGGUUGACUACAAUCGUGCAACGAUGACUACGCGGGAAGUGAUCCAAAUCGCGUCGGAUGACAGUGGGACGGCGGAGGACGAGCAGCAAAGCCCCCCGACCAGCAGGAGCGAUCCCAGCAAACAUGGGAGCAGCUCGCGGAAACACAAAAAACAUAAGCGCCACAAGAAAUCCUCCAAGACGGACAAGGCGGAGAAGCUGUACAAAGCCAAAAAGCACAAAAAACACAAGCGAAAGCAUCGCGAGGAGGAUGACGCCGAGGAUGAUAGUGCGUCGGAUGUGGUGGAACUGGCGCGGAACGGUUCAAAAGCGGCCGAAGGGCGUAGCAAAUCGGCUGCCACCGACGGAACGACGUCGAAACGGCGUAGCCCUUCGGUAAGCGACGGCGAGGAGGGGCAUAGUUCCGAUGUAGGUCGGGAGAGGGACCGGGUGCGAUCGAAGAACAACAACGGCAGUGUGCGGACGGUGGUGGUUGAGAAACGCAAGGGCCACAUAUCGACGGAUCCGGACAAACUAGUGCAUCUGUUGACGCAGGAACUCGAGAAGCGCAAAGAGGACGUCGUAUCGGUGGAGAGCGAAAGCGAAGGCAGCGCCGUGGAAGAUGCACCCAGCCCGGACGUAGCGGUCAUCGAAGACGAUGAGCUCAAUCUAGAGGAGCUGAUGCGCCAGAAGGCACUGCUCCAGGCACGGUUGGGUGAGUAUGCGAGUGAUGAGGAAGAAGCCGACGGACGCAACAGAUCCUCCCGGUCGGUACCGGUCAAGAAAGCGAAAGUCGAUGGUCAAGCUGAUGGCGUGAUAACGAUAAUCGACGGAGACUCGACCCCGGACGAUGCGGAUCAGCCGGCCCGGAAAGCGUCGGCUGGUGGCACGAACCGUGCCUCUCGUGGCACCAAACAUGACCAAUCGGCCAGCAGUGGCACCGGUAGAAGCUUAAAUGAAUCCGACAAGCGGAUGAAAGAGCAACAGCAGGACCGCGGUUCGAAACACGCUGAACGUGAACGGGAACGCGAUCGUGAGCGUGCCCGGGAUGAGCGACGUAAUCGAGAGGAGGACAACUACAAGCGGCGCAUGGCGGAGGAAAGGUUCGAACGAGAGAAGGCCCGCGAACGGGAACGCGAUCGAGUGGAUAGGGACCGAGCGAGAGCACGUCAACGGGAUCAACGUGAUCGUUCGGUGGAACGGUAUCGAGAUCGUCGAGGCUAUUCUCCGCGGCUCGAUCGUGAUCGUGGUCGUGGUGGUCCCGGUGCGAUGGCAGGACGCGAUCGGUUCCAGCGGGGCCGCAGCCGUGAUCGUGAGUUGGUGCGCGGUGGUCCAGGUCGUUUUGACCGAGAACGGGACCGUGAUCGUGGUUGGGAUGUAAGGGAUCGCGAUCGUAAUAAUCGCGGUUGGCAGCGGAAUGGGCGCGAUGGCCGCGGUGAUGGUGGUGGUCGUGGAGGUAAGGCCAAUCGUAAGGCGGAAGACGAUCGAUUUAAGGACUCGCUCAGCGAGGGUCUUAAGCAGCACAAGGACUCGAGCAGCGACAGUGAAAUCGCGGACAUCGAUAUCGACGAUGAGGAGGACGAAGAGAAGAUCAUCGAGAAGCGGCGUAAGGAGCGGGAGGCGUUGCUUAAGAAACUGGGCGCGGUAAAUGAAGAUAGCAACACGGGCACGGAGGCGAUGGAACCGCCGGAACUGCGUCAACUGAGUGCUGCCAGUGCGGGACCGGCCUCGCGGAACGAAUCACCCGGCAACAGUCAGGAUGCGACGAUCGAAAUCGAUCAUUCGGACGAUGACCGGUCUGAUCAGUCGCUCACCCCACCGAUACCGAGCGAGCGCAAGGAUCUGAUGGAACAGGUAGAACGUAAGCUGAAAGAACCCAUCGAUGCAUCGAAAGACCUGGACAGGCAGAGUAAGGAACCGAAACAUACUGCGAAGGAAAAUGCUAAACGUCCCGAAUGGGACAUGUUUGCCGAACAGGACAUCGACUCCAACUUCGACUCACCCGGCACGGUGGUGGGCGGGAGCCGGCAGGCGCUCGAGAAUCCAGCCCUCACGGACAACUGGGACGACGCGGAAGGCUACUAUCGUGUCCGGAUCGGUGAGGUGCUCGACAACCGGUACGUGGUCGCCAACUACACCGGCCAGGGUGUGUUCAGUACGGUCGUGAAGGCACGCGAUCAGGCUCGCGGCAGUGCUUUCGUCGCUGUGAAGAUCAUCCGGAACAACGAGAUCAUGCAUAAAACGGGACUACGGGAGUUGGAGAUUCUGAAGAAACUGAACGAUGCUGAUCCCACGGAUCGCUAUCACUGUCUACGUUUGUAUCGACACUUCUUUCACAAACAGCAUCUGUGCAUGGUGCUGGAACCACUGUCAAUGAAUCUGCGCGAAGUGCUGAAAAAGUACGGCAAAAAUGUCGGUCUACACAUCAAAGCAGUGCGCAGCUAUACGCAGCAGUUGCUACUAGCGCUGAAGCUGCUGAAAAAGACCGGCAUCCUGCAUGCCGACAUCAAGCCGGACAAUAUUCUCGUGAACGAAAACAAUCUCGUGCUGAAGCUGUGCGAUUUCGGGUCCGCUUCAUCGAUCACCGAUAACGAAAUUACUCCCUAUCUCGUGUCACGCUUCUACCGUGCACCGGAGAUCAUACUCGGGCUCCCGUACGACUACGGUAUCGAUAUGUGGUCGGCCGGUUGCUCGAUCUACGAGCUGUACACCGGCAAGAUACUGUUCAGCGGCCAGUCCAACAAUCAGAUGCUGAAGGUGUUCAUGGAUCUCAAGGGCAAGAUUCCGAACAAGCUGAUACGGAAGGGUCAGUUUAAGGAUCAGCACUUUGAUCAGAACUGUAAUUUCCUGUCGCACGAGAUCGAUAAAAUCACCGAACGGGAAAAGAUUGUUGUCGUAUCGAUGAUAAAGGCGACCCGGGACUUGCAGCAGGAGCUGAUAGCAGGACAGAAUCUACCCGACGAUCAGAUACGCAAGGUAUCGCAGCUGCGCGAUCUGUUGGACAAAAUGUUCGCGCUGGAUCCAGCCAAACGGAUAUCGUUGAACCAUGCGCUGGCCCAUCCCUUCAUUCAGGACAAGCUGUAGAGGUGCAGAAAUCGACGAAGCGUGCGGAUUUGCCUAUACCAUCGCGAACAGCACUCUCGGCCCUUUUUCGGAUGGAUAAGCAUUCUGUAAACAACGCUCACUGCUAUAUAUAUAUAUUUACUAUACAUGCAUAUAUCAAUCCACAAACCUAUUCACAAUCCCUUUUCUUACCUUCACAACGAUCGGUGCUCGCGACGACCGCUUCAUGGUUUGAACCGAAGGAAGACGACCGGCCCUCCACGCAAAUGAACGUGCGAGCCUAGGUACCCGCCGUCAGAGAACCUUGUAGAGACCGUAAUCUCUAGUAUUUUUCGUGAUGCAAAAAUAACAGAGACAUAGAGCGAGAGCCAGAUUUGGAUGCCGUUGAGUGUGAAGCGGUCAAGCAUAAUGACGAACCAUCAUCACCACCGACGGAACGCACAGUCAUUGUGCCCAAGAUUGGUUCAAAAUGGAUGUCAUCUCAUGGAAGCCACAAAAAAAAAUGCGGAUCGUGUCGCACAGAGUGCUGCCCACCGGCGGGUAUUCACUGCGCGGGGCUCCCUCCCUCAGCGGCUCGAAACCGAGGCAAGAGCAAUGGGAGCGUAAUGGCCGUGUCAGAGAGGUAGUGAUGACGUUGUACUCCUUUGAUUUCCUUUUCUUUCGAUUAUACUGUUACUGUUUUGAGCAUUUAACACUUCAGCGACCAUUUUCAGCAGAGAAGCGUAUGUGUCCCAUCAUUAGUGAGAUGCGUGUAGAGCGGUGUAGAGUAGUAUUUCUCAAAAAUGAUUCCCUUUGAUUGCCAUCCCGUAUCACACUCCCAUGCUCUCUCUUUACCAAUGCUCCUUGCCUCACUCAUACCAGUUCUCUCUGCGAGUACUCUCUUUUCCAUACCAUGCACCCUUUGUUCGAUCUGUUCAUACCGACUCUCUGUCCACUUUUCAACCGUUCCGAUAGCUCCAGUUGGUUGUUUGGAUUGGAUGGUGCUGGCUAUAUCACAGAGCCUAGUUGUCCUUUCUCGUGCUACGUACGUGCGGCAGGGCGCGGUAACUUCCGGAUCAAGCCGAGCAUGCCGAGGGAACGCUCAUGAUUGAUCAGGUUGUUAUGUGUAGUCGAUCCAACAUUUGCUUGAGAGCGUCAGUUACUCGUCUCGUGCGUUGUAUUCACUUCUUUUCAGCUUGAAAGCGGUAGUGCCCUAAACGGAUCCACUGGAGAGCCUUGGAGAGGACUGGCGAGAAGGAUGGUAAACUCUGCGGUCUUAUAUGGAUCUGCUGAUCAUCCAUCAUGUGCCGGAGACGAGAAAUCAUUUUACGCAACUCCUUUUCGAGGGCCAACAAAACGGAGUGCCGAAUGCACGAAUCUAUCAAUCAAUCAGUGCGGAGGUAAGUCUCCAUUAAAGUAAAGUCAUCCGAAUCCUCGCCGUGGCAAGUGUUUAGGUGACAUCGAAUCGUAGGAAUAAUCAUUGUUGGAGCGAACUGGUGUGCACUUGAAGGUGUUGGAAUCUGAACACAUAGUGGAAUAAAUCGUUUCUCCAAGAGA
Molecule: RNA transcript, 4655 nt
Organism: Anopheles aquasalis
Lineage: Eukaryota; Metazoa; Arthropoda; Insecta; Diptera; Culicidae
Gene: Prp4k
Gene name: Pre-mRNA processing factor 4 kinase
Source: RefSeq, a predicted model, not a curated record